This 254-nucleotide ribosomal RNA is filed under the name uncultured microorganism. RNAcentral's name for it is "partial 16S ribosomal RNA". It matches the Rfam family "Archaeal small subunit ribosomal RNA", at positions 474 to 727 of the family's 1478-position model. The record is from RNAcentral.
CACCGGCGGCUCGAGUGGUGGCCACUUUUAUUGGGUCUAAAGCGUCCGUAGCCGGCUUGGCAAGUCCCCUGGGAAAUCUGGCGGCUUAACCGUCAGGCGUCCAGAGGAUACUGCCAGGCUUGGGACCGGGAGAGGUGAGAGGUACCUCAGGGGUAGGGGUGAAAUCUUGUGAUCCCUGAGGGACCACCAGUGGCGAAGGCGUCACACUAGAACGGGUCCGACGGUCAGGGACGAAAGCUGGGGGCACGAACCGG